This 448-nucleotide ribosomal RNA is filed under the name uncultured bacterium. RNAcentral's name for it is "bacterial SSU rRNA". It matches the Rfam family "Bacterial small subunit ribosomal RNA", at positions 32 to 460 of the family's 1533-position model. The record is from RNAcentral.
AAUCAACGCUGGCGGCGUGCCUCAGACAUGCAAGUCGAACGCGAAAGUUCCCUUCGGGGGCGAGUAGAGUGGCGCACGGGUGAGUAACACGUAGGUAAUCUACCUUUGGGUGGGGAAUAACAGCCGGAAACGGCUGCUAAUACCGCAUAAUGCAGCGGCUCGACAUCGAGACAGUUGUUAAAGCGGGGGAUCGCAAGACCUCGCGCCUAAAGAGGAGCCUGCGGCGGAUUAGCUUGUUGGUGAGGUAAUGGCUCACCAAGGCAUCGAUCCGUAGCCGGCCUGAGAGGGCGGUCGGCCACACUGACACUGACAUACGGGUCAGACUCCUACGGGAGGCAGCAGUCGGGAAUUUUGGGCAAUGGGCGCAAGCCUGACCCAGCAACGCCGCGUGAAGGAUGAAAUCCCUCGGGAUGUAAACUUCGCAAGAACAGGAAGAAUAAGUGGGGAC